GGAUCGUAAACCUCUUUUAUAAGGGAAUAAAGUGCGGGACGUGUCCUGUUUUGUAUGUACCUUAUGAAUAAGGAUCGGCUAACUCCGUGCCAGCAGCCGCGGUAAUACGGAGGAUCCGAGCGUUAUCCGGAUUUAUUGGGUUUAAAGGGUGCGUAGGCGGCCUUUUAAGUCAGCGGUGAAAGUCUGUGGCUCAACCAUAGAAUUGCCGUUGAAACUGGGGGGCUUGAGUAUGUUUGAGGCAGGCGGAAUGCGUGGUGUAGCGGUGAAAUGCUUAGAUAUCACGCAGAACCCCGAUUGCGAAGGCAGCCUGCCAAGCCAUGACUGACGCUGAUGCACGAAAGCGUGGGGAUCAAACAGGAUUAGAUACCCUGGUAGUCCCACGCAGUAAACGAUGAUCCAUUAGCUGUUUGCGAUACACUGUAAGCGGCACAGCGAAAGCGUUAAGUGAUCCACCUGGGGAGUA
Molecule: ribosomal RNA, 463 nt
Filed under: uncultured bacterium
Lineage: Bacteria
Description: bacterial SSU rRNA
Rfam family: Bacterial small subunit ribosomal RNA
Source: RNAcentral